Molecule: small nuclear RNA, 318 nt
Filed under: Erinaceus europaeus (western European hedgehog)
Lineage: Eukaryota; Metazoa; Chordata; Mammalia; Eulipotyphla; Erinaceidae
Description: 7SK RNA
Rfam family: 7SK RNA
About the family: 7SK was discovered as an abundant small nuclear RNA in the mid-70s but a possible function has only recently been suggested. Two independent studies have found that 7SK RNA binds the CDK9/cyclin T complex (known as elongation factor P-TEFb).
Source: Rfam by way of RNAcentral
AGGUUUCCGUCAAUAACCCCUCAGGCCGGGGCAUUGAUCACCAGUGUUGAUUUGGCUGAUCUAUCUGGCUAGGCGGGUGUCCCCUUACUCCCUCACCACUCCAUGUGUGUCCCUCCUGAAGCUGCGUGCUCACUUGGUCGAAGAGGAUGGCCUUCCCUGAAUAGAGAGGGACCAGACUUUGGUCGAGGACAUAGAAGUAGCUGCACUCCCUUGCUAGAACCUCCAAAUAAGCUCUCAAGGUCCACUCUGGUCUAGCUUAAACUACACCACUUCUGCUGUGAAAAGUUUAGAGGCUUGACAAGCAAGCCUGCUUAUUCU